UUCGUUUAAGGCAAUAACAAGGAGUAGAUGAAGAACCGCACACACACCGGUGUAUGUGAUGGGGGUAAUCGACGUUGCGCCUAAUGUUAUCGGUCAAUAUCUCUCCCUAUGGUGUCCUUCUUCUCGCCAUCGUCUCGAGAAGAUGGCCCCGAAAACUCAUGUCU
Molecule: non-coding RNA, 164 nt
Organism: Caenorhabditis elegans
Lineage: Eukaryota; Metazoa; Nematoda; Chromadorea; Rhabditida; Rhabditidae
Source: Ensembl